This is a long non-coding RNA of Poeciliopsis prolifica (blackstripe livebearer), 449 nucleotides long. RefSeq lists it as uncharacterized. The record is from RefSeq and is a predicted model, not a curated record. Lineage: Eukaryota; Metazoa; Chordata; Actinopteri; Cyprinodontiformes; Poeciliidae. The transcript is spliced from 3 exons.
ACCACUGCGCCGACCAUGGCGUCGGCCACCGCCGAUGGACUGACACCGCCCUGACCUGCAGAGGAUGAGGACCAACCAAAUGAUGAAGAUGAGGAUGAAAACUCAAACAAGUCUGCCCAACAACGUACAAAUCUUUACCAAUCGCUUCAUGACUCUGAGUUGAUCCUACAUCUGGUUGCUGCAAAGCAGUUCUGUUACUGCACAGACCUGUUCCCAGAGCUGGAAAGGCCACCGAUCUGAACUUGUUCUCCUCACAGACCUUCAGGACUCCCUGAACAAUUUCCUUGAUCUUAGUCGCAUCGUUCUGGCCGACGAUGUGGAUGAUGUUGCUGGAGGGAAGCUGACCGCCUGAGGUCAAGAUCAUGGAACGAGGCAUGGAGCCCGGAGACUUCACUGCAGAGGAAACAUGUUCAUUCACACAGUUUGGAAAGAUCUUACACACAUCUCUA